UACAGAGGGGGCGAGCGUUGUUCGGAAUUACUGGGCGUAAAGGGCGCGUAGGCGGCCUGCUAAGUCGAACGUGAAAUCCCCGGGCUCAACCCGGGAACUGCGUCCGAUACUGGUGGGCUUGAAUCCGGGAGAGGGAUGUGGAAUUCCAGGUGUAGCGGUGAAAUGCGUAGAUAUCUGGAGGAACACCGGUGGCGAAGGCGGCAUCCUGGACCGGUAUUGACGCUGAGGCGCGAAAGCUAGGGGAGCAAACAGG
This 253-nucleotide ribosomal RNA is filed under the name uncultured bacterium. Its description in RNAcentral is "partial 16S ribosomal RNA". It matches the Rfam family "Bacterial small subunit ribosomal RNA", at positions 524 to 776 of the family's 1533-position model. The record is from RNAcentral.